GCUAAUGAACUUUCAUAACUAAAUAACUUCUUUAUUAGCAUCAAAUAUCGUAAAGAACUCCGUAUUGUAAAUAAAACUGACUACUAAAUACUGUAUGGAAUAUUUCCAGCAUGUCGCUCAUCUUUUUAGGAUAAAAAUACAAUCUGACACAACUUUGUCAUUCCCUUUCGACUAGAAAUUAGAAUCAGUAUUCCACAAAUUUUAAGUCAGAUUCUCCAUAAAC
RNAcentral lists this long non-coding RNA (223 nucleotides) under Elaeis guineensis (African oil palm). Its description in RNAcentral is "long non-coding RNA (EGUI_LNC044051)". The record is from RNAcentral. Lineage: Eukaryota; Viridiplantae; Streptophyta; Magnoliopsida; Arecales; Arecaceae.